UGUUUCGGCAAGGGGGUCAUCCCGACUUACCAACCCGAUGCAAACUGCGAAUACCGGAGAAUGUUAUCACGGGAGACACACGGCGGGUGCUAACGUCCGUCGUGAAGAGGGAAACAACCCAGACCGCCAGCUAAGGUCCCAAAGUCAUGGUUAAGUGGGAAACGAUGUGGGAAGGCCCAGACAGCCAGGAUGUUGGCUUAGAAGCAGCCAUCAUUUAAAGAAAGCGUAAUAGCUCACUGGUCGAGUCGGCCUGCGCGGAAGAUGUAACGGGGCUAAACCAUGCACCGAAGCUGCGGCAGCGACGCUUAUGCGUUGUUGGGUAGGGGAGCGUUCUGUAAGCCUGUGAAGGUGUGCUGUGAGGCAUGCUGGAGGUAUCAGAAGUGCGAAUGCUGACAUAAGUAACGAUAAAGCGGGUGAAAAGCCCGCUCGCCGGAAGACCAAGGGUUCCUGUCCAACGUUAAUCGGGGCAGGGUGAGUCGACCCCUAAGGCGAGGCCGAAAGGCGUAGUCGAUGGGAAACAGGUUAAUAUUCCUGUACUUGGUGUUACUGCGAAGGG
Molecule: ribosomal RNA, 556 nt
Filed under: Escherichia coli
Lineage: Bacteria; Pseudomonadati; Pseudomonadota; Gammaproteobacteria; Enterobacterales; Enterobacteriaceae
Description: partial 23S ribosomal RNA
Rfam family: Bacterial large subunit ribosomal RNA
Source: RNAcentral